Non-coding RNA from Camellia sinensis, 1178 nucleotides. The record is from RefSeq and is a predicted model, not a curated record. NCBI's taxonomy places the organism in Eukaryota, Viridiplantae, Streptophyta, Magnoliopsida, Ericales, Theaceae.
AACAAACAAACAAAUAUAUCAAAAUAUGCCCACAAUGUAUCCCUGUUUCUCUCACUCUCUCCAUCUGUUUCUGUUUCUCUCUAUUAUUCACACAAGCACAAACCCUAGACCACCAUUCAAAACCACCACCACCAAAAAUGUCUCACGCCGCGGUGGCGUCGCCCUAUUUCCCCAUCGUGAGGUCGGCGGCGAACUCACCAAGGCAGAGAGCAAACACGAAGAAGGUGACUAACACGAAACGAAACAGGAGCAGCGUUGGAGCAGCAGUGGGGUUCGGUGGAGAGAUGAAGGAAGUUCGGUAGCAGUGCGUGUAGCCGCCUACACUCUACCAUUGCUAAUCCUCUCGAUUUCAGACCUCUUUCAUCAGGGGGGGAAAAGCACAUUGAAAAACUGCCAAGUUUUACAGGCGACAGUUAAUCGAUCAAAGGGAAAUCAAACCGAGAUAUCCAAAGAGGAUCUUAUCUAGAAAAGUUCAUAUUGCAGGGUUUCAGGCCGUGACAUGGAUCUUCUGGAACUGUCAGCAUAUGGCAAUGUCCGAUGAGGACAAGACUCUGGAGGAUGCAACAUUCAGUGAUAUGCUGCUCUUCAUGGCUGGCAAUUUAAAUGUUGUCAAACUUUAGAUGGAGAAUUUCAAAAGCUGUACUCAAAUCUUUCGGCUAGUUUAAAAUAGCUGUCUUUAUUGUAUUUGCUUCAUGACAGGUUUUGACGUAGGUCCUUGAGGGAACAGGUCCUUGAGGGAACAAGUUUUGAUAUUUCAAAAUUCCUAAACAAAGAUGACGAUAUUGAGAUGAUAUUUGGACAGCAGAGGGUGCGGCUCUACAUAAUUGCUGGUGUGAAAGACGAUACCGCCUUUGCCCCACUUACCAAAAAAGAGAUCAGUGUAUGUUGCCUCUCCUCAUCUAAAACUGUCCAGAUUGUGAAAAAGAUCACUUCUGUUGUAUGUCUAGGGUCAUUGAACUGAGUCCUUAUCUUGUUUGUUUCUUGUUUGUAGUUCUACUAUUAAUAAUUUGCUUCUAAAGUAAAAGAAUUAAAAAGUCCCCUGUAUAUUUUCUAUACAUAGAGAGAUCUAAAUAUAUACACAUAAACAUUUGAUAUGUGUAACUAACAGUUUGGGUUUCUUUCUCCUUAAUGGAUGACAAUGAAGGAGAAGAAUAAGCUGACUGUAAUAGCUGAAUGGU